Molecule: long non-coding RNA, 258 nt
Filed under: Elaeis guineensis (African oil palm)
Lineage: Eukaryota; Viridiplantae; Streptophyta; Magnoliopsida; Arecales; Arecaceae
Description: long non-coding RNA (EGUI_LNC037598)
Source: RNAcentral
GUACCUCAUCUCCAACCUCACCAACCUCUUCCUUGCCGUCCGACUCCAGGAGGCUGAAGUCGAGAUCAAAAAAAUGGUUUCUGACCUUCUCCUUGAAAUCCUCGGCUCCCUGCAUGUAAGAAAGCAAGGCAAACUCUAACUUGAUCUCCAGAAAUUCAGUCGAAGACUUGAAAGCCCGAAUCAAGGCGACCUUGGCAGCCUCCAGCUCCCCCUUAUGCUUCUUCUUCUCAAUUGAUAACCGAGCUUCAGUUUUUACCU